This 458-nucleotide ribosomal RNA is filed under the name Pseudomonas aeruginosa. RNAcentral's name for it is "partial 23S ribosomal RNA". It matches the Rfam family "Bacterial large subunit ribosomal RNA", at positions 943 to 1402 of the family's 2925-position model. Lineage: Bacteria; Pseudomonadati; Pseudomonadota; Gammaproteobacteria; Pseudomonadales; Pseudomonadaceae. The record is from RNAcentral.
ACCGAUGCAAACUCCGAAUACCUAUGAGUACUAUCCGGGAGACAGACUGCGGGUGCUAACGUCCGUAGUCAAGAGGAAAACAAUCCAGACCGCCAGCUAAGGCCCCAAAAUCAUAGUUAAGUGGGAAACGAUGUGGGAAGGCAUAGACAGCUAGGAGGUUGGCUUAGAAGCAGCCAUCAUUUAAAGAGUGCGUAAUAGCUCACUGGUCGAGUGACGCUGCGCCGAAAAUGUAUCGGGGCUAAACGAUUCACCGAAGCUGUGGAUGCAUACCUAGGGUAUGCGUGGUAGGAGAGCGUUCUAAUUGCGUUGAAGUCAGAUCGUAAGGACUGGUGGAGCGCUUAGAAGUGAGAAUGCCGGUAUGAGUAGCGAAAGAGGUGUGAGAAUCCCAUGCACCGUAUGACUAAGGUUUCCUGAGGAAGGCUCGUCCGCUCAGGGUUAGUCGGGACCUAAGCCGAGGC